This 380-nucleotide ribosomal RNA is filed under the name uncultured bacterium. RNAcentral describes it as "bacterial SSU rRNA". It matches the Rfam family "Bacterial small subunit ribosomal RNA", at positions 30 to 412 of the family's 1533-position model. The record is from RNAcentral.
AUUGAACGCUGGCGGCAUGCCUUACACAUGCAAGUCGAACGGCAGCGCGGGGCAACCUGGCGGCGAGUGGCGAACGGGUGAGUAACAUAUCGGAACAUACCCUAGAGUGGGGAUAACGUAGCGAAAGUUACGCUAAUACCGCAUACGCACUAAGGUGGAAAGUGGGGGAUUCGCAAGAACCUCAUGCUCAUGGAGUGGCCGAUAUCUGAUUAGCUAGUUGGUGAGGUAAAGGCUCACCAAGGCGACGAUCAGUAGCUGGUUUGAGAGAACGACCAGCCACACUGGAACUGAGACACGGUCCAGACUCCUACGGGAGGCAGCAGUGGGGAAUUUUGGACAAUGGGGCAACCCUGAUCCAGCAAUGCCGCGUGAGUGAAGAA